ACGCUCGACACCUACGGAAGGCAGCAGUGGGGAAUAUUGCACAAUGAAGGAAACUCUGAUGCAGCGAUGCCGCGUGAGGGAAGAAGGUUUUCGGAUUGUAAACCUCUGUCUUUGGGGACGAUAAUGACGGUACCCAAGGAGGAAGCUCCGGCUAACUACGUGCUAGCAGCCGCGGUAAUCUGAGCGGGCUGGCAAGGC
Molecule: ribosomal RNA, 198 nt
Filed under: uncultured bacterium
Lineage: Bacteria
Description: partial 16S ribosomal RNA
Rfam family: Bacterial small subunit ribosomal RNA
Source: RNAcentral